This 609-nucleotide ribosomal RNA is filed under the name Salmonella enterica subsp. enterica serovar Infantis. Its description in RNAcentral is "partial 23S ribosomal RNA". It matches the Rfam family "Bacterial large subunit ribosomal RNA", at positions 580 to 1190 of the family's 2925-position model. RNAcentral also lists the same sequence under 6 other names. The record is from RNAcentral. Lineage: Bacteria; Pseudomonadati; Pseudomonadota; Gammaproteobacteria; Enterobacterales; Enterobacteriaceae.
CAGGUUUACCUGUGUGACUGCGUACCUUUUGUAUAAUGGGUCAGCGACUUAUAUUCUGUAGCAAGGUUAACCGUAUAGGGGAGCCGGAGGGAAACCGAGUCUUAAUUGGGCGUUAAGUUGCAGGGUAUAGACCCGAAACCCGGUGAUCUAGCCAUGGGCAGGUUGAAGGUUGGGUAACACUAACUGGAGGACCGAACCGACUAAUGUUGAAAAAUUAGCGGAUGACCUGUGGCUGGGGGUGAAAGGCCAAUCAAACCGGGAGAUAGCUGGUUCUCCCCGAAAGCUAUUUAGGUAGCGCCUCGUGAAUUCAUCUCCGGGGGUAGAGCACUGUUUCGGCUAGGGGGCCAUCCCGGCUUACCAACCCGAUGCAAACUGCGAAUACCGGAGAAUGUUAUCACGGGAGACACACGGCGGGUGCUAACGUCCGUCGUGAAGAGGGAAACAACCCAGACCGCCAGCUAAGGUCCCAAAGUCAUGGUUAAGUGGGAAACGAUGUGGGAAGGCCCAGACAGCCAGGAUGUUGGCUUAGAAGCAGCCAUCAUUUAAAGAAAGCGUAAUAGCUCACUGGUCGAGUCGGCCUGCGCGGAAGAUGUAACGGGGCUAAACCAU